CCUACGGGUGACAGCAGUGAGGAAUAUUGGUCAAUGGCCGCGAGCCUGAACCAGCCAAGUAGCGUGAAGGAUGACUGCCCUACGGGUUGUAAACCUCUUUUAUCAAGGAACAAAGCGAGUCACGUGUGCCUCAUUGUAAGUACUUUAUGAAUAAGCAUCGGCUAACUCCGUUCCAGCAGCCGCGGUAAUACGGAGGAUGCGAGCGUUAUCCGGAUUUAUUGGGUUUAAAGGGUGCGUAGAUGGAUUGUUAAGUCAGUUGUGAAAGUGUGCGGCUCAACCCUAUACUUGCAAUUGAUACUGGCAGCCAUGAGUACAGUUGAGGUAUGCGGAAUUCGUGGUGUAGCGGUGAAAUGCGUAGAUAUCACGAAGAACUCCGAUUGCGAAGGCAGCUUACAAAACUGCCACUGACAUUGAUGCUCGAAAGUGUGGGUAUCGAACAGGAUUAGAUACCCGGGUAGUC
RNAcentral lists this ribosomal RNA (460 nucleotides) under uncultured bacterium. Its description in RNAcentral is "partial 16S ribosomal RNA". It matches the Rfam family "Bacterial small subunit ribosomal RNA", at positions 338 to 795 of the family's 1533-position model. The record is from RNAcentral.